GUGGGGAAUCUUAGACAAUGGGGGAAACCCUGAUCUAGCCAUGCCGCGUGAGCGAUGAAGGCCUUAGGGUUGUAAAGCUCUUUCAGCUGGGAAGAUAAUGACGGUACCAGCAGAAGAAGCCCCGGCUAACUCCGUGCCAGCAGCCGCGGUAAUACGGAGGGGGCUAGCGUUGGUCGGAAUUACUGGGCGUAAAGCGCGCGUAGGCGGACCAGAAAGUUGGAGGUGAAAUCCCAGGGCUCAACCUUGGAACUGCCUUCAAAACUCCUGGUCUGGAGUUCGAGAGAGGUGAGUGGAAUUCCGAGUGUAGAGGUGAAAUUCGUAGAUAUUCGGAGGAACACCAGUGGCGAAGGCGGCUCACUGGCUCGAUACUGACGCUGAGGUGCGAAAGCGUGGGGAGCAAACAGGAUUAGAUACCCGAGUAGUCC
RNAcentral lists this ribosomal RNA (425 nucleotides) under uncultured bacterium. Its description in RNAcentral is "partial 16S ribosomal RNA". It matches the Rfam family "Bacterial small subunit ribosomal RNA", at positions 354 to 796 of the family's 1533-position model. The record is from RNAcentral.